Molecule: ribosomal RNA, 422 nt
Filed under: uncultured bacterium
Lineage: Bacteria
Description: bacterial SSU rRNA
Rfam family: Bacterial small subunit ribosomal RNA
Source: RNAcentral
UAAGGAAUAUUGGACAAUGGAGGCAACUCUGAACCAGCCAUGCCGCGUGCAGGAAGACGGCCCUCUGGGUUGUAAACUGCUUUUAUUCGGGAAUAAACCUAUCUACGUGUAGAUAGCUGAAUGUACCGAAGGAAUAAGGAUCGGCUAACUCCGUGCCAGCAGCCGCGGUAAUACGGAGGAGCCAAGCGUUAUCCGGAUUUAUUGGGUUUAAAGGGUGCGUAGGCGGCCUAUUAAGUCAGGGGUGAAAGACGGUAGCUCAACUAUCGCAGUGCCCUUGAUACUGAUGAGCUUGAAUGAACUAGAGGUAGGCGGAAUGUGACAAGUAGCGGUGAAAUGCAUAGAUAUGUCACAGAACACCGAUUGCGAAGGCAGCUUACUAUGGUUUUAUUGACGCUGAGGCACGAAAGCGUGGGGAUCAAACA